UUCAAAUUGUGCAAAACGUAUAAAACUCUCUUCGGAUGAAUCCAAGGAGCUAUCACGUAGCAAUAUAUCUGAGCUUCCUGAUGAAAUAUUACUAAUGAUACUAAAAAACUUGGAUCUGAUGACGUUAUGUCGCUUGAAUUAUGUAAAUAGACGCUUCAAUGAUUUGAUACGAGACCCACGACUCUAUACACGGUUAAAUAUACACUGUUCACCUUCC
Molecule: long non-coding RNA, 217 nt
Organism: Temnothorax curvispinosus
Lineage: Eukaryota; Metazoa; Arthropoda; Insecta; Hymenoptera; Formicidae
Exons: 2
Source: RefSeq, a predicted model, not a curated record